CCCUGCUGGUCUCCAGCACCGUCCAAAGGUGUCAGACAUGUCCGAGGCAGGGCAGCUCGAGUUUCAUUUCUAGACCUGCAGCUGAACCGUCGAGACAUAAUGAGCUUUAGCGUUGCCACUCUGCCUCUUACAGCAGCUCAUCAUCCCCACCACAGGAACCUAGACUGUGGGUCUCCAUUGCAGACUGUUUGCCUGCCUCAGUGUGUGAGGAUGUGUCUGCUGUCCUGGGGUGAGUUAAGACCUGGGCAAAUGAGUGUAGCAUAAUGACCUCCUAGGAGCAGCCCUAAUGGAGCCAUAAUGGUCAUUUAUGCCAGGGGAGGCUCUGAGGGCACGGCGGUGGAGGCAGCAAGUCGCACAAGAACACGGGAGAGAGUGGAGAGAAGCUCUCUCAAGUCCCGUCAUACACAGAUCCUGAAUCUCAGUCUUUGUAUGACUGCGCCGUCUUUCUAUGUGUGUGUGUGUGUGUGUGCGCUCAACUGUGCAUUCAUGUGCGCGUAAUGAAAGGAACUGAUACAAGACUGGUUAACAAUAGAAAGUACAAUAUGAAUGUAUGAGGGGUGUAUCCCUUCUUUUGAUGUUCACUUCUCUAGCUCAUUCGUAUGCAUUAUGCACACAUGCAUACAUCAUUUUCUUUUUUUAAUUACAUUUUCCUCAUAUGGACAAGCUUCCUAUUCAUGCAUACAUCAUACACACAAUAGACCAUGCUAGAAUAUUUAAACCUCUUCAUAUUUCUCCUUCCAUAUUUGCUGACACCAUGAGCAGAAACCGCACCGUACAUACACCACAAUGCAUAAACUUGCACUUAUUGUUGGGGACGAUCUUCUUCCCACCCAUUUUGCAUUUUAAUAUGCACCGUAAACAAAAGAAUAUUUCACUGUAUACAGUCUGAGCCCGAGGUAAUCAAAGACAACUAAGUUCAAUGUACUGUAAAGCUGAGAUCAAAUAGGGUACUUCUUUGAAUGUGGCUUUCUCCAGACUCGACAACUCACGCUUUGAAUGUGGCACAUCCUGGGAUGUUCCCCUGGGCGCUACAAGUUGAAUUAUACAAUAGCACAUUUAUCAGCUAGCUACUGCUAAUUAGACUGCCGCAUAAAAAGGAGAAUAAUGUACAGUAAUGUUCCUUAUGCCUUGACAGCCACUGCUUUUCCUCAGUUUCCAGCCAUUAUCACAGCAGGAUUUGGGGUUUUAGUAAAAGAAAGAAACAGCUUCCUUUCUAAACCACUAGUUAUCUACAUUCGAAAAUGUAGUCAUUCUCUCGUGGAUUUGAUCUCCUCCAGUGGAGAUGUAUUUUGUAACCUCUGCUCCGAAAUGUAUGGAGGUGUGAGGCGAGUGCGGCUUCUUUCUAGGUGACAGAGAUUGUGGAGAAAUGUUAGAAGAAGUGGUGAAGCAAAUGUGAGUUGGCUACGAACAUGACAGAUAAAUUCCUCACUUCCACCACCGCAACAGGAGCAUCUUAAUUUCAAGCAAACUUCAGAUUUGUCUUCUUUGGGAGCUAUCUGAAAAAUCUGUGCUGUCUCACUGUUUUGAGCUGCAGUACCUGGGGAAUGGUGUGCACUUUAAUGCCUAACAGACUCACAGUGAGGUCCUUUUGUGCCUCAUUUUAAUUCAAAGACCUUUUCAAUUUUUUCGUUUUGCUCUUUGUAGCCUGAUAAACGCUCUGAAGCCUGAUAAUUUAAGACGGUUUCCAUAACACUGCAUUUUCAUACUUUCAACAAGUCAUUAGUGAGGUUUACUAUACAUUCUACGGCUGUAUGUUAUUUUUCUGCAGAUGCAAUACCUGAAAAUAAACAAAAAACCUCAGCUCUGAGUCAUACCGACACAUACAUUCACAGAUAUGAACCACUCUGUUAUCACUAAAGCUUUCUGAGUGUUAAAUAGGAUCCCUG
Molecule: long non-coding RNA, 1886 nt
Organism: Hippoglossus stenolepis (Pacific halibut)
Lineage: Eukaryota; Metazoa; Chordata; Actinopteri; Pleuronectiformes; Pleuronectidae
Exons: 2
Source: RefSeq, a predicted model, not a curated record